GGUCCUGGGUGAUUUAAUUGGUAGACCAUUGUACUUGAAAUGCCUACCUUGUGGGUUCGAUUCCCACAAGGGACCA
Molecule: non-coding RNA, 76 nt
Organism: Dallia pectoralis (Alaska blackfish)
Lineage: Eukaryota; Metazoa; Chordata; Actinopteri; Esociformes; Umbridae
Source: the annotation of a GenBank genome assembly